RNAcentral lists this transfer RNA (70 nucleotides) under Dipodomys ordii (Ord's kangaroo rat). It matches the Rfam family "tRNA". From Rfam's summary of the family: Transfer RNA (tRNA) molecules are approximately 80 nucleotides in length. Their secondary structure includes four short double-helical elements and three loops (D, anti-codon, and T loops). Further hydrogen bonds mediate the characteristic L-shaped molecular structure. tRNAs have two regions of fundamental functional importance: the anti-codon, which is responsible for specific mRNA codon recognition, and the 3' end, to which the tRNAs corresponding amino acid is attached (by aminoacyl-tRNA synthetases). tRNAs cope with the degeneracy of the genetic code in two manners: having more than one tRNA (with a specific anti-codon) for a particular amino acid; and 'wobble' base-pairing, i.e. permitting non-standard base-pairing at the 3rd anti-codon position. Lineage: Eukaryota; Metazoa; Chordata; Mammalia; Rodentia; Heteromyidae. The record is from Rfam by way of RNAcentral.
GGGAAGGUGGCUCAGUGGUAGAGCACUUGCCUAGCAUGCAUGAGGCCCUGGAUUCGAUUCCUCCAUACCA